UCAGCGAUAUUCAGGAAGGUGGUCCUGAGGUAGAACAAAAUUUACAUCAUAUCAACUUCGAUGACAAAUUUUUACAUAUCUAAUCCUUCCCCUUCUUUUAUGACCCUUUCUUUCUUUCUUUCUUUCU
This 127-nucleotide non-coding RNA is filed under the name Pteridomonas danica. The record is from RNAcentral. Lineage: Eukaryota; Dictyochophyceae; Pedinellales.